GGGAUGAAUAUAUAGCUCAGUUGGUAGAGCACUGCACCGGUAAUAUUUUAUCGCAGAGUUCAUGGGUUCGAACCCUUUCAAGCCUG
Non-coding RNA from Desmophyllum pertusum, 86 nucleotides. The record is from the annotation of a GenBank genome assembly. Lineage: Eukaryota; Metazoa; Cnidaria; Anthozoa; Scleractinia; Caryophylliidae.